UUAUCACAGUGACUCCUUGUGAUGUCUGAGC
This 31-nucleotide non-coding RNA is filed under the name Mus musculus (house mouse). Lineage: Eukaryota; Metazoa; Chordata; Mammalia; Rodentia; Muridae. The record is from RNAcentral.